CCUACGGGAGGCAGCAGUGGGGGAUAUUGCACAAUGGGGGGAACCCUGAUGCAGCGACGCCGCGUGGGUGAAGAAGCGCCUCGGCGCGUAAAGCCCUGUCAGCAGGGAAGAAAAUGACGGUACCUGAAGAAGAAGCCCCGGCUAACUACGUGCCAGCAGCCGCGGUAAUACGUAGGGGGCAAGCGUUAUCCGGAUUUACUGGGUGUAAAGGGGGCGCAGACGGCGAUGCAAGCCAGGAGUGAAAGCCCGGGGCCCAACCCCGGGACUGCUCUUGGAACUGCGUGGCUGGAGUGCAGGAGGGGCAGGCGGAAUUCCUGGUGUAGCGGUGGAAUGCGUAGAUAUCAGGAGGAACACCGGUGGCGAAGGCGGCCUGCUGGACUGCAACUGACGUUGAGGCCCGAAAGCGUGGGGAGCAAACAGGAUUAGAUACCCCGGUAGUC
RNAcentral lists this ribosomal RNA (440 nucleotides) under uncultured bacterium. RNAcentral's name for it is "partial 16S ribosomal RNA". It matches the Rfam family "Bacterial small subunit ribosomal RNA", at positions 338 to 795 of the family's 1533-position model. The record is from RNAcentral.